Columba livia (rock pigeon) is the source of this 1450-nucleotide long non-coding RNA. RefSeq lists it as uncharacterized. Lineage: Eukaryota; Metazoa; Chordata; Aves; Columbiformes; Columbidae. The record is from RefSeq and is a predicted model, not a curated record. The transcript is spliced from 5 exons.
CGGCGGCCGGGCAGCGGCGGGGAAGCGUCCGCCUGGCCGGCACCACAGCGCCCCCAGCCCCCGCCGCUCCGCGCCUGCACGCCGAGCCCGGCCGGCUCCCUGCGCCCCCACACAAAGUCCCAGCACUCGAUGAAAGAGGCUGGAGUUCCUGUCUUCACCCUUUCUCCGCUGCCUCCCUGCUCUACCAGUCUGUUCUGUGUCCAGGCAACUGCAAAGAGACAUUUCAAAGACUCCUGCCGUGCCAUGUAGAUGUUUUCUCUUGUUAGUUUGGACUGCAGGAUCAAGUCCCUUAUUUGCCGUUUGGCGUGGCAACCAGCCCAAGGAAAUCUUGCUUGACAGCUCUGUUUUCUCAAAGUGCUGCAUUUCUCCAGGCUGGAUUCUGCAAAGAUCCUGCAGGGUACAGAGCUCCUCGGAGCAAGCGAUAAUUUGCUUUGUGUUCCUGCUGGAACGUACCUAUGUAAGAUGGAAGAAAGACCUUGGAAAAUUCGGUGCACGCUGGCAAGAAGACGUACUCGUGGUCACCGGGAGAUAAACAUCUCAUGGUGAGUGUCUGGCACUUGCACCUCGUGGGCUGCAGAACUGCAGGAAGGAGACGGAGGGAAAUACAGAAAUAAAGCAGUGGAGCGGCUGCUCCCUCACCCACCGGUUUCCCUUUCAUUCACUUCCAGAUAAAGCCUAUAAAGCAGCUGGGAUUUUCAGUCCCCUGUCACCCCCCGGCGCUCGCAGCCUUUGCGGGGUGUCCCUUUAGGGUGUCCCCCGCGGGUGCCGGCUGUCCCAGGGCGGCUCAGCCCCGCGUCAGCUCCGGCUCACGGGUGCCAAGGGGAGAGGCGUCCGCCCUGGGCCCUGUCGGAACACGCCGGGCCGGGAGAGGAGCGGCAGCCGGGAUGGAGAGACAGGUGUGUGCGGAGAUGGGGAGAUACCCAGACACAGCGACUCGCCGCCUCCUGCGAAACCAACCUCCGCACGGGGCUCCGGCGCUGGCAGGAGCAGCCAGGGACCGGGUCUUAUUGUCCUAUGUGAUGUUUUGGAUGUCUGAGGUGAUUUUUCUCCCAAUAAUGAGUGUGAGGUUUCAUUUUGGGAAGCACAUCUUUUCUUAGAAACACAACUGCGACUGGCUGAGCACAACUGUGAUUUACUGCAAACACAACUGUGUUUGGGGUUGUUGCAUUUGGAUGCUGGGGUAGGAGAAACAGUAAUUCUGGAUUCAUGCAGAAAGGGAGAAAACAGACACCCUUCGAGGAAGCUGUAAGUUCACUGCAGCUGCCAUACACUGGUGAAACUGAUGCUGCAUCCCACAGGAAACACCUUAGUGUGGAGAAUCUCCUUUCUAAAGAGAGCACAUUCGUGCCUGUCAUGACAUACACGAGUGAACCAAAGUGGUUUGGGUAACAUAUCAAUCCAGUAUUUCUUUAGUAACAUGUAUGAAAUAAACUGAUUGUUUUUCCCCUUG